Molecule: RNA transcript, 1503 nt
Organism: Populus trichocarpa (black cottonwood)
Lineage: Eukaryota; Viridiplantae; Streptophyta; Magnoliopsida; Malpighiales; Salicaceae
Exons: 7
Source: RefSeq, a predicted model, not a curated record
GUCGGGUAGGAUGUAUGGAGCAAUCAUCCUCGUAACCAAGAAGAAGAUGACGGCGAUGUUAUGAUUAUUUUCACUUUCUUUCAUCUCUAGGAAGUUGAUUGCAGGAAUUGACGAGUGCUGAGGGAUGAUCUUCUCUUGCCGUGGCCUGAGAGAUGAUUAUAAAACGAGUCUUUUGCGUAAGAAAACAAAGGGAUGGCACAGCUAAAACGAUGUCGCUUUGUUCUUGUCCUAUCUAGAACAAGAGGGAGGGGGGCGGGAGUUGUACCAGCAUCUUGCUGCCCAGAAAUAGGUAUGGAGUUGAAGGCUGCUUAAUUUAGGGCUUGGUGGAGAAAUCCUCUUUCAAACAUCAAUUUGUUAUACGUAUGUUGUUAAAAAUUGUGUAAUUAAUUAAAUAUUAAAGAGUUGGAGAAAAAAUGGAGCAUAGUUUAUGGAAUCAUUUGCCGUUACUAGUAAGAGCAAACUCUAAAGAAUCAGUAGAGUACAUUCUUCAAGCUCUCUGGCGAACUCGUCAAACCGGUCUCGAUUCCGCCGACCGACUUGUCAUUAGCGACAUCCUCCAACUCCCAAACGACACCGAUCUCGACCCCUUAUUGGUUUGUCUUCGAAUGCUGAUUCGAAGGUGUGUGUACGAGAAUGUAAGCAAAGAUGAUAUUCAGAAGUUGUUUCCUGAAGAGGUUUUGCCGGAAUUGCAAAGGUUGUUGACGCUUUUACUGCAGAAGUUUCAGACAGAGUGGCGCGCGGAUGUGUUCAAAGAUCAGGUUGGUUUUCCACGGUUGAAGGCAAUGACAUGGAAUAUGGCGAACCAGGAUGCAGCGGAAGGGACUGAUCCUGUCGCUGUUAUCAAUUUGAAGCUUCAAGAUGAUACACAGUCUCACUCAGAAGUGAAGUUCCAAUUAGGUAAAGAUACUCUAGAAACAAUGGUGAAGUCCAUGUACUGCAUAAGAGACCAAUUGUCUGACUUGGGUGGGGCAUCAAGUAGGCAGUUAUCUCAGGGAACCAACAUAGUCUAGGAAGCUAGUAACUCUUGCUUGUAGCAAUGCCUGAAAUGGAAUGGUAUGGGCCAUGUCUUGGACUUGGAAUCUAUCCGCUGCAAGAUUUGACAUGGGUGGAGCCUUUACCAUCUUCAGUCCAGAAUGAAGAGCGAGGCCGAAGGUUUGCCUGGCGUUAUUUUAAUGUGUAUCUGUCACAGGCCGAAGGUUUAGAAUCUCCUUGAAGUUAAGUUCAUAGUCAUUGAGUUCGUGGUCGAUAGAGGAUGACCAAGCAUUUAAAAAUGCAAUAUUAUUGUAGUCGAUGGAUAUGCAAAUUGAUCCAUUGUAUUCAUGGACCAAGUCUUGGCCUAGAUUUAUAGCACUCCUGCACUCAUGACACAAGCAGCUGUCGUGACACAAGCAGCUGUCGUGGGUGGAGUUGCAAAUUGACGUGCAAUGAAACAGAUGAUGUCCAAAAAUAUUCAACAAGAUUUUUGUACUGGAAAAUCGGUUCUAUUAAUUUGAUUUAUUUUUA